This 1136-nucleotide ribosomal RNA is filed under the name uncultured bacterium. Its description in RNAcentral is "bacterial SSU rRNA". It matches the Rfam family "Bacterial small subunit ribosomal RNA", at positions 31 to 1164 of the family's 1533-position model. The record is from RNAcentral.
GAACGCUAGCGACAGGCUUAACACAUGCAAGUCGAGGGGAAGAACAGGUAGCAAUACCGGGUGGCGACCGGCGCACGGGUGAGUAACGCGUAUGCAACUUACCUAUCAGAGGGCGAUAACCCGGCGAAAGUCGGACUAAUACCGCAUGAUGCAGGGGCCCCGCAUGGGCAUAUUUGCUAAAGAUUCAUCGCGGAUAGAUAGGCCAUGGGUCCAUUAUGUACACAGGCGGGGUAACGGCCCACCAAACCGACGAUGGAUAGGGGUUCUGAGAGGAAGGUCCCCCACAUUGGUACUGAGACACGGACCAAACUCCUACGGGAGGCAGCAGUGAGGAAUAUUGGUCAAUGGCCGAGAGGCUGAACCAGCCAAGUCGCGUGAGGGAUGAAGGUUCUAUGGAUCGUAAACCUCUUUUAUAAGGGAAUAAAGUGCGGGACGUGUCCCGUUUUGUAUGUACCUUAUGAAUAAGGAUCGGCUAACUCCGUGCCAGCAGCCGCGGUAAUACGGAGGAUCCGAGCGUUAUCCGGAUUUAUUGGGUUUAAAGGGUGCGUAGGCGGCCUUUUAAGUCAGCGGUGAAAGUCUGUGGCUCAACCAUAGAAUUGCCGUUGAAACUGGGGGGCUUGAGUAUGUUUGAGGCAGGCGGAAUGCGUGGUGUAGCGGUGAAAUGCAUAGAUAUCACGCAGAACCCCGAUUGCGAAGGCAGCCUGCCAAGCCAUGACUGACGCUGAUGCACGAAAGCGUGGGGAUCAAACAGGAUUAGAUACCCUGGUAGUCCACGCAGUAUACGAUGAUCACUAGCUGUUUGCGAUACACUGUAAGCGGCACAGCCAAAGCGUUAAGUGAUCCACCUGGGGAGUACGCCGGCAACGGUGAAACUCCAAAGGAAUUGACGGGGGCCCGCACAAGCGGAGGAACAUGUGGUUUAAUUCGAUGAUACGCGAGGAACCUUACCCGGGUUUGAACGCAUUCGGUCCGAGGUGGAAACACCUUUUCUAGCAAUAGCCGUUUGCGAGGUGCUGCAUGGUUGUCGUCAGCUCGUGCCGUGAGGUGUCGGCUUAAGUGCCAUAACGAGCGCAACCCUUGCCACUAGUUACUAACAGGGAAAGCUGAGGACUCUGGUGGGACUGCCAGCGUAAGCU